AGAGUUUGAUCCUGGCUCAGAACGAACGCUGGCGGCAUGCCUAACACAUGCAAGUCGAACGUGAUCCGGGCUUCGGCCUGGUGAAAGUGGCAGACGGGUGAGUAACGCGUGGGAACCUGCCCUGUGGUAGGGAAUAACCGUGGGAAACUGCGGCUAAUACCCUAUGAGUCCUUCGGGAGAAAGAUUUAUCGCCAUAGGAGGGGCCCGCGUCGGAUUAGGUAGUUGGUGGGGUAACGGCCUACCAAGCCUUCGAUCCGUAGCUGGUCUGAGAGGAUGAUCAGCCACACUGGGACUGAGAUACGGCCCAGACUCCUACGGGAGGCAGCAGUGGGGAAUAUUGGACAAUGGGGGCAACCCUGAUCCAGCAAUGCCGCGUGGAUGAUGAAGGCCUUCGGGUUGUAAAGUCCUUUCGGCGGGGAAGAUGAUGACGGUACCCGCAGAAGAAGCCCCGGCUAACUUCGUGCCAGCAGCCGCGGUAAUACGAAGGGGGCUAGCGUUGUUCGGAAUUACUGGGCGUAAAGGGCGCGUAGGCUGUGCUGUAAGUCAGGCGUGAAAGCCCCGGGCUCAACCUGGGAAUUGCGCUUGAUACUGCGGCGCUGGAAGGUGGGAGAGGAUGGCGGAAUUCCCAGUGUAGAGGUGAAAUUCGUAGAUAUUGGGAAGAACACCGGUGGCGAAGGCGGCCAUCUGGCCCAUUUUUGACGCUGAGGCGCGAAAGCGUGGGGAGCAAACAGGAUUAGAUACCCUAGUAGUCC
This 752-nucleotide ribosomal RNA is filed under the name uncultured bacterium. RNAcentral's name for it is "bacterial SSU rRNA". It matches the Rfam family "Bacterial small subunit ribosomal RNA", at positions 8 to 796 of the family's 1533-position model. The record is from RNAcentral.